AGAGCGACCCAUCGAAUCAGAGCCUUAUUUGGUCCGACAAGCCGGACAUCAGUGCCGUGGCCAAAGCCUGGGAGGACAGUCCGUAUCUGUUCAUCGUGAAGGUGCAGCAUUUGUUCCCCCGAGUUGAGGAAGAAGAAUUCGCGGCAGAGCAGCCCAACUAUGCUUUCAUAAUGAAAGUGGAGAUGAAGGGACCACAUGACUACUCUUCUCCAGCAGACUGGCCCCUGAUGAUG
This is a non-coding RNA of Plectropomus leopardus (leopard coralgrouper), 233 nucleotides long. The record is from RefSeq and is a predicted model, not a curated record. NCBI's taxonomy places the organism in Eukaryota, Metazoa, Chordata, Actinopteri, Perciformes, Serranidae.